RNAcentral lists this long non-coding RNA (955 nucleotides) under Lytechinus variegatus (green sea urchin). Its description in RNAcentral is "uncharacterized LOC121419969". The record is from RNAcentral. Lineage: Eukaryota; Metazoa; Echinodermata; Echinoidea; Temnopleuroida; Toxopneustidae.
GUUGCAUAAAAAUUUAUGUCAUAAUGACAUAAAUUUCGAUCAUGACAUAAAAUCAUGCAUAGCUUAUGCCGUUGACAUAAAUUUCGUUGCAUAAAAAUAUUUAUGUAUUGUUUUAGCUUAUGACGCGAUUUAAUCAUCAUUACAUAAACUGAAUAGUCAUGAACGAGCCUGUUGACAUAAACUUGGCAUAAGUUGUCAUUUUUCAGCCGCAGGAAGCUCUUGCGAAAAAGGGGUCUUCGGCUUCCUAUUUGGACGGGAAAGAGGCAUAUUUUGGUGACCCACACAAACGGUGAGAAGAGGUACAUGUAUAGAGAGAAAGGGGCACAGCAACUGAAAGGAGAGGGAAGUCCAGACACUCUACCACGGUCUGCCAUUGAAUAAGAAGUCUCUCUUUGGAUCAGGGGGUCAAGCUCCUAGUAUGAAGAUUGUUCAAGAGUCAAGACUGUUGAAGAGGUGACGUCAUGGACCUGGUAGCACCUGGCAAGGGAACUAUAUUACUGUUCAUAAAUCUAUGACUCAAGUAUCCUAAAAACGCUUUAAAAAUUUGAACAUUAACAAAAGUACUAAUUUUUUUUUAUUUUUCAAAGAUAAUAAUCAUUAUAUUGACAUUGUGAAUAUAUUUUAUGAUUAUCAUAAAAUUAUUAUAAUGUAAAUGAUGAUAGGUCAUACUAAUACAAAUAAACAAUAAGUAGAAAAGAAGACAACCAAGGAGGAGGAGAAGAAAAAGAAGAGGGGUGGAAGAGGAGAAAAGGAGAAGAAGAAUAAAUAACAACACUGAGUUCCUCUUCAUGAUAUUACAGAAAUCUUCAUCUUUAAGUGGAAAUAUUUAUGAAUAGUAUAAUAUAUAAUGUAUGAAAAAAAACAUUUUAUCUAAAUCCAAGUUCCACUUUAAUCAUGUUUAUAAAGUCAUAGGACAGGUGACAAGAUAACAUUGUUUCACAAAUUUUAGUGUGUA